UACGGAGGGGGCUAGCGUUGUUCGGAAUUACUGGGCGUAAAGGGCGCGUAGGCGGCCUCUUAAGUCGAACGUGAAAUCCCCGGGCUCAACCCGGGAACUGCGUCCGAUACUGGGAGGCUUGAAUCCGGGAGAGGGAUGUGGAAUUCCAGGUGUAGCGGUGAAAUGCGUAGAUAUCUGGAGGAACACCGGUGGCGAAGGCGGCAUCCUGGACCGGUAUUGACGCUGAGGCGCGAAAGCUAGGGGAGCAAACGGG
This 253-nucleotide ribosomal RNA is filed under the name uncultured bacterium. Its description in RNAcentral is "partial 16S ribosomal RNA". It matches the Rfam family "Bacterial small subunit ribosomal RNA", at positions 524 to 776 of the family's 1533-position model. The record is from RNAcentral.